RNAcentral lists this transfer RNA (70 nucleotides) under Fruhstorferiola tonkinensis. RNAcentral describes it as "tRNA-Ser". It matches the Rfam family "tRNA". Rfam says of the family: Transfer RNA (tRNA) molecules are approximately 80 nucleotides in length. Their secondary structure includes four short double-helical elements and three loops (D, anti-codon, and T loops). The record is from RNAcentral. Lineage: Eukaryota; Metazoa; Arthropoda; Insecta; Orthoptera; Acrididae.
AGUUAAUUAACUUAAGAAAAGUAUAUGUUUUGAAAACAUAAGAUUAGAAGUUUAAUUCUUCUAUUAACUU